This 167-nucleotide ribosomal RNA is filed under the name uncultured bacterium. RNAcentral describes it as "partial 16S rRNA". It matches the Rfam family "Bacterial small subunit ribosomal RNA", at positions 355 to 511 of the family's 1533-position model. The record is from RNAcentral.
UAGGGAAGUCUUCCACAAUGGGCGGCAAGCCUGAUGGAGGCAACACCGCGUGAGUGAAGAAGGGUUUCGGCUCGUAAAGCUCUGUUGUUAAAGAAGAACACGUAUGAGAGUAACUGUUCAUACGUUGACGGUAUUUAACCAGAAAGUCACGGCUAACUACGUGCCAG